This 464-nucleotide ribosomal RNA is filed under the name Vreelandella stevensii. RNAcentral describes it as "partial 16S ribosomal RNA". It matches the Rfam family "Bacterial small subunit ribosomal RNA", at positions 338 to 795 of the family's 1533-position model. Lineage: Bacteria; Pseudomonadati; Pseudomonadota; Gammaproteobacteria; Oceanospirillales; Halomonadaceae. The record is from RNAcentral.
CCUACGGGAGGCUGCAGUGGGGAAUAUUGGACAAUGGGCGAAAGCCUGAUCCAGCCAUGCCGCGUGUGUGAAGAAGGCCUUCGGGUUGUAAAGCACUUUCAGUGGGGAAGAAAGCCUUGGGGCUAAUACCCUCGAGGAAGGACAUCACCCACAGAAGAAGCACCGGCUAACUCCGUGCCAGCAGCCGCGGUAAUACGGAGGGUGCGAGCGUUAAUCGGAAUUACUGGGCGUAAAGCGCGCGUAGGCGGUCUGAUAAGCCGGUUGUGAAAGCCCCGGGCUCAACCUGGGAACGGCAUCCGGAACUGUCAGGCUAGAGUGCAGGAGAGGAAGGUAGAAUUCCCGGUGUAGCGGUGAAAUGCGUAGAGAUCGGGAGGAAUACCAGUGGCGAAGGCGGCCUUCUGGACUGACACUGACGCUGAGGUGCGAAAGCGUGGGUAGCAAACAGGAUUAAUACCCUGGUAGUC